Molecule: ribosomal RNA, 254 nt
Filed under: uncultured bacterium
Lineage: Bacteria
Description: partial 16S ribosomal RNA
Rfam family: Bacterial small subunit ribosomal RNA
Source: RNAcentral
UACGUAGGGUGCGAGCGUUGUCCGGAAUUAUUGGGCGUAAAGAGCUCGUAGGCGGUCUGUCGCGUCGAUCGUGAAAACUUGGGGCUUAACCCUGAGCUUGCGGUUGAUACGGGCAUGACUGGAGUUCGGCAGGGGAGACUGGAAUUCCUGGUGUAGCGGUGAAAUGCGCAGAUAUCAGGAGGAACACCGGUGGCGAAGGCGGGUUGCUGGGCCGACACUGACGCUGAGGCGCGAAAGCUAGGGGAGCGAACGGG